RNAcentral lists this ribosomal RNA (432 nucleotides) under uncultured bacterium. Its description in RNAcentral is "bacterial SSU rRNA". It matches the Rfam family "Bacterial small subunit ribosomal RNA", at positions 17 to 453 of the family's 1533-position model. The record is from RNAcentral.
UCCUGGCUCAGAUUGAACGCUGGCGGCAUGCCUUACACAUGCAAGUCGAACGGUAACAGGUCUUCGGAUGCUGACGAGUGGCGAACGGGUGAGUAAUACAUCGGAACGUGCCCGAUCGUGGGGGAUAACGAGGCGAAAGCUUUGCUAAUACCGCAUACGAUCUACGGAUGAAAGCGGGGGAUCUUCGGACCUCGCGCGGACGGAGCGGCCGAUGGCAGAUUAGGUAGUUGGUGGGAUAAAAGCUUACCAAGCCGACGAUCUGUAGCUGGUCUGAGAGGAUGAUCAGCCACACUGGGACUGAGACACGGCCCAGACUCCUACGGGAGGCAGCAGUGGGGAAUUUUGGACAAUGGGCGAAAGCCUGAUCCAGCCAUGCCGCGUGCAGGAUGAAGGCCUUCGGGUUGUAAACUGCUUUUGUACGGAACGAAAAGC